GUCUUUUUUGUAUUUAAUUUAAAGUCUAACCUGCCCACUGAUUUUAUAUUAAAUGGCCGCAGUAUUUUAACUGUGCAAAGGUAGCAUAAUCAUUAGUCUUUUAAUUGAAGGCUUGUAUGAAUGGUUGAACGAAAUAUUAACUGUUUCAUUUUAAUUUAAAAUAUAAUUUUAUUUUUUAGUUAAAAAGCUAAAAUAUUUUUAAAAGACGAGAAGACCCUAUAGAUCUUAAUAAUUUUUAAAUAUUAAUUAUAAAGAUUUUUUGAAUUAUUUUAUUUUAAAAAUUAUUUUAUUGGGGUGAUAUUAAAAUUUAAUAAACUUUUAAUUUUUUUUUUACAUUUAUUUAUGAUUUAAUGAUCCGUUUUUAACGAUUAAAAAUUUAAGUUACCUUAGGGAUAACAGCGUAAUUUUUUUAGAGAGUUCUUAUCGAUAAAAAAGAUUGCGACCUCGAUGUUGAAUUAAGAAAUAAUUUUGGGUGUAGAAGUUCAAAUUUAAAGUCUGUUCGACUUUUAAAUUCUU
RNAcentral lists this ribosomal RNA (516 nucleotides) under Clinocera sp. Pollet 0249. RNAcentral's name for it is "partial 16S ribosomal RNA". The stretch from base 392 to 516 matches the Rfam family "Bacterial large subunit ribosomal RNA", at positions 2473 to 2597 of the family's 2925-position model. The record is from RNAcentral. Lineage: Eukaryota; Metazoa; Arthropoda; Insecta; Diptera; Empididae.